This 199-nucleotide long non-coding RNA is filed under the name Trifolium pratense (red clover). RNAcentral describes it as "long non-coding RNA (TPRA_LNC005272)". Lineage: Eukaryota; Viridiplantae; Streptophyta; Magnoliopsida; Fabales; Fabaceae. The record is from RNAcentral.
UUACAUUGAUCCUCUUAAAUUGUUAAAGAAUGACACCAAUUUUUUCUAUUCUUUGAGUGAAAAUGAUGACACCACUUAUUAUCUUCUGAGCUUGUAGGUUGUUCCCUUGUAAUAAAAAAAGAAUGUGUUGCAAAGACUGAUUUUGUUACAGUGAUGAGAAUAAACCAUCAAUUUGGUCCCUAAAUUAUCAACCUCUCUC